This 2622-nucleotide long non-coding RNA is filed under the name Lonchura striata (white-rumped munia). RNAcentral describes it as "domestica (Bengalese finch) lncRNA (ENSLSDG00000007522.1)". The record is from RNAcentral. Lineage: Eukaryota; Metazoa; Chordata; Aves; Passeriformes; Estrildidae.
UGCCUGCUCUGUAGUGGAUUAAAGCAGUCAGUAGCCAUGUUUCUUGCAUUCAUAAUGUCUCUUGUGGUGGAGGCCUUCAUGUGGUUCUGGUCUCUAGGCUUUUCUGAGGUUUUAGUACUUUUUUGGGUACUAGGAUUAUUGUCCCUUACAUGUAGUUUUUGCAGUAGAGGAUCACAGAUUAAAAUAGCUAUUUUGAUAGCCUUAGUGAUUGUGAUUUGUAAGGUGCUUACAAAGAUACUGGAGUCUGUUCAAGAUAUGUAUAGUUUAUGGUUUUUUCGUCCUACCCUGCAUCCUAGUUCCAGUAGUAUGUUUUGGGGGUUUAUUAGUAAUUGCAUCCAGUUUGUUAGAGGAGGAGCAGAGGAUGAGAUUUUCCAGCCUCUCGUUUCCUUCUUCUCUUUUGAAUCUGUUAUGUCACUUUUUGAGAAUGUUCAGUUUUCCCUGAAUGUUAAAGAGACCAUCUUUCUGGUAUUUUAUCUGGUAAUCUUCCUUUAUAUAGUCUGUAGCUUCUCUAGAGUGAGGGCUGAGAUGUCCAGAGGAGCUGAUGAGAUCCCAGACUCAGGUGUGGAAAAUCCUAAGUGCUGUGGAGAAUGGGAGAAAAUGGGCCAGACCCUGAAGGAAUUUUCUAACCCUGUAGAGUGGGAUUUUCCACGUGAACAAAUUCAGAACCCAGAUGAGGUAGCGAAACACCUGAAAGAGAAGUGCCAUGAUGAUCCAGGAGAAGGACCCUCAAAGCUACUUAUUGACACAAAAGCCGGAGUUAGGGCAACUGAUGCAGGGUCAGAAGCCACUACUGAGUCCUAUUCCCUGACAGACCUUCGUGGCCUAAGAAAGGAUUACACUCGAAGACCUGAUGAGUCUAUAAUUAGUUGGUUGGUUCGUCUUUGGGAUGCUGCAGGGGAGGCUACAAUUCUGGAUGGUAGUGAAGCGAGACAUUUGGGAUCCCUAUCACAUGAUCCGGUUAUUGACCAAGGAAUGAUGAGGGGGGCUAACCCUCGCAGCCUCUGGGCACGGGUCCUGGGAAGUGUAGCACAAAGAUACCUGUGUGCAGACGAUCUCUAUAUGCAGCAAACCCAGUGGAAGACUAUAGAACAAGGAAUUCAGUGCUUGAGGGAAAUGGCAGUGGCAGAGAUUGUCUUCUCAGAUUAUGUAGAUACUGUAAAUCCAGACUCGGUACCAUGUACAUCCGUGAUGUGGCGAAAACUUGUACAACUUGGGCCACAAGAAUAUGCUCCUGCUUUAGCAAUAAUGAAGCGAGAUGACAGUGAGGAGACUGUGCUCAAUAUGGCAAAGAAGCUCCGAGCAUAUGCAGAUGCUGUACAUGGCCCAACCCAUGCCAGAAUUGCAGCAGUGGAAACACGUCUGCAGAAAUUAGGAGAGAAACUAGAAAACAAGAUAGAGGAGACUCAUAAGAAACUCAGGGAGGAGAUGAAAGAGGGUUUUCUCCAAGUCUCAGCAAUACAGAUCAGAGGUUCUGGUACCCAAUGCAGACAUUCCCCAGAUGGGGAAAAAAGGUACAUCUCACGAGCUGAGCUGUGGUUCUUCCUGCGCGAUUGUGGAGAAAAUAUGAGGAGAUGGGAUGGAAAACCUACUGCUGCUCUGGCACAACGGGUGCAUGAAUUGAAGGAAGGCAAGACUCCAAGAGGAAGUUUCAUCAAAAGGAGAACAGCUCCAGUGACCCAUAACCAAACUGCCAUAUAUGAUGAUGAUGACAAUAUUUUCAAUCCCCUUGAAGGAACAUCCAAGACAUAUGCCCCAGGAAAGAAGGAUAACCAGGCUUAGAGGGGCCCUGCCUCUAGCCAGGUAGAGGCUAGGGAAAACCGUGUUUUUUGGACUGUGUGGAUUUUUUGGCCUGGCACAUCAGAACCACAAGAAUAUAAAGCUUUGGUCGACACUGGUGCACAGUGCACAUUAAUCCCAUCAAAAUAUGUGGGGGCAGAACGUGUUUCUAUUGCUGAUGUGACAGGGGGAUCACAGGACUUUACUUUAGUGGAAGCUGAGAUCAGCCUGACUGGAAAUGAGUGGAAAGACAUUGCUACCAGGGUAGAGAAACUACCUGUGAAAGUUCGCCACGUAGAUGCCCAUGUCCCCAAGAGCAGAGCCAAUGAGGAGCACCAAAACAACCAGCAGGUAGAUCAGGCUGCAAGCAUAGGAGUGUCAAAGAUAGACUUAGAUUGGCACCAUAAGGGGGAGUUGUUCCUGGCUCGAUGGGCUCAUGAUGCCUCAGGCCAUCAGGGCAGAGAUGCCACCUACAAGUGGGCACGAGACCGAGGGGUGGAUCUAACCAUGGACAGUAUUUCUCAGGUGAUCCAUGACAGUGAGACGUGUGCUGCCAUCAAGCAGGCCAAGCAGGUGAAGCCCCUGUGGUAUAGUACAGUUAUGGGGAGGCUUGGCAGAUUGAUUACAUCACACUGCCCCAGACACACCACGGCAAGUGUUAUGUGCUCACCAUGGUAGAAGCCACCACUGGAUGGUUGGAAACCCACCCCAUGCCUCAUGCUACGGCCCAUAACACCAUUCUGGGAUUGAGAAGCAGAUCCUUUGGAGGCAUGGUACCCCUGAGAGGAUUGAGUCAGACAAUGGGACUCAUUUCAAGAAUAGUCUUAUCAACACCUGGUGCAUGGU